This 468-nucleotide ribosomal RNA is filed under the name uncultured bacterium. RNAcentral's name for it is "partial 16S ribosomal RNA". It matches the Rfam family "Bacterial small subunit ribosomal RNA", at positions 28 to 507 of the family's 1533-position model. The record is from RNAcentral.
GACGAACGCUGGCGGCGUGCUUAACACAUGCAAGUCGAACGGAAAGGCCCUGCUUUUGUGGGGUGCUCGAGUGGCGAACGGGUGAGUAACACGUGAGUAACCUGCCCUUGACUUUGGGAUAACUUCAGGAAACUGGGGCUAAUACCGGAUAGGAGCUCCUGCUGCAUGGUGGGGGUUGGAAAGUUUCGGCGGUUGGGGCUGGACUCGCGGCUUAUCAGCUUGUUGGUGGGGUAGUGGCUUACCAAGGCUUUGACGGGUAGCCGGCCUGAGAGGGUGACCGGCCACAUUGGGACUAAGAUACGGCCCAGACGCCUACGGGAGGCAACAGUGGGGAAUAUUGCACAAUGGGCGGAAGCCUGAGGCAGCAGCGCCGCGUGCGGGAUGACGGCUUUCGGGUGGUAAACCGCUUUCGCCUGUGACGAAGCGUGAGUGACGGUAAUGGGUAAAGAAGCACCGGCUAACUACGUG